GACGAACGCUGGCGGCGUGCUUAACACAUGCAAGUCGAACGGAAAGGCCUGCUUUCCCUUGUGGAUUGCGGGUACUCGAGUGGCGAACGGGUGAGUAACACGUGAGUGAUCUGCCCCCAACUUGGGUAUAAGCCUGGGAAACUGGGUCUAAUUCCCGAUAGGACUGCAGGGUGGUGCCUGUGGUGGAAAACGAUUUUCUAGUGGUUGGGGAUGAGCUCGCGGCCUAUCAGCUUGUUGGUGGGGUAAUGGCCUACCAAGGCGGCGACGGGUAGCCGGCCUGGGAGGGUGGACGGCCACAUUGGGGCUGAGAUACGGCCCAGACUCAUACGGGAGGCAGCAGUGGGGAAUAUUGCACAAUGGGCGGAAGCCUGAUGCAGCGACGCCGCGUGGGGGAUGACGGCCUUCGGGUUGUAAACUCCUUUCGACCGCGAGGAAGCCACCUGGUUGGAAGGGUGGUGACGGUAGUGGUAAGAAGCACCGGCUAACUACGUG
RNAcentral lists this ribosomal RNA (492 nucleotides) under uncultured bacterium. Its description in RNAcentral is "partial 16S ribosomal RNA". It matches the Rfam family "Bacterial small subunit ribosomal RNA", at positions 28 to 507 of the family's 1533-position model. The record is from RNAcentral.